RNAcentral lists this long non-coding RNA (1921 nucleotides) under Salmo salar (Atlantic salmon). Its description in RNAcentral is "lncRNA (ENSSSAG00000116726.1)". The record is from RNAcentral. Lineage: Eukaryota; Metazoa; Chordata; Actinopteri; Salmoniformes; Salmonidae.
AAAAUGUAAUUUGUCCUCAUAUUCCACAAACAAAUAAAUUCAAUCAAUCGUAUUUAAUAAAGCCCUUUUUACAUCAGUAACUGUGACAAAGUGCAAUACAGACAGACCCCCUCUACUUGAAAUGGAUUCAGGUUGGCUGUCUAUCAUUGGGAGUCUUUCAAUAAGACACUUUCAAAAGUCAGAAGCAGAGAAAUCAAGAGGUGGUCAUGUCCUUGCGGUAGAAAAGCGAACUGAAAGUGAAAUAGCUAACCAGGUAGCCAGAGAUUGAAUCGUUUUGUAGCCAUUACUAGUUGUAAUUUCAUUGAUUUUGUUUUGUUUUUGAUAUCGCAGCAGGACGUUUCUGAAAAGACCUCGUUACUAUUAACUAACUAGCUAGCUAACUGGACGUGUAGCAUUUGUUUGCUUGCCAGCUAUCUAACGUUACUGUUACCUUUGACAUUUGUGUUAUUAAAUUCAGUCGAUAGAUUCAAAUAAUAAUAAUAGGUCUAAUCAUUUUCCACAACCAUGGAAUAUAUGACACCCCUCCAGAAGAAGAGACGCCACGAAGGAGACCUUCAACCCUGGAGAGAUUGUCAGGCGAAACGACUGUGCAACAGAGUGGGAGUCUGCGUCCAGGUUGAACAUGGCGGGAUGGUGACUGACAGUGCCAUGGAUACAUGGGAUGCCAGCAUGCAACAGCAGAGUGUCCCAAACAGCAACAGCGGUGUCGGCAUCAACCACCCAGCCUCUAACAUGGUCUAUGCAGUCCAUGCAGUCCAAGGCAGCCAACGUUGUAAUCGGUGCCUGGCAGGGGAGCCUGGGCACAUUAACCACAUCAUGGGGUAUUGAUUGGUUAUCGUCAUGAUCAGAGAUUGUUUGAAGAACUGAAGGGUCCUUGAGGAUGAAGAGAUUUGAUUGAUUGAUUGAUUGAUUGCUUGAUCAAGCCAUUGUGUAUGUGGCUGUGAACGUUUUAUCAGUGUGCCUUGCCUUUUCUUGCUUUUAACCACAAACACUGUAUUGCUUCAUGGAGAGCCUCACAUGUUUACACUACCUAACACUGGUAUGGGUAAAAUGGCUACUAACCAGACAGUAGACAUAAUAAUUUCAUACCGUCUUACUAACAUUCUGUUUGAAUGGAAAGAUAACCACUACAGUGUAGUCUACAUACAACCAUAAGGAAUGAGCCAUCAAGCCACCAUUAAUACUGUAACUUUACAAUGUAAUGUGGAUACUCAUUUAAAGUCAAUGGAUCUAUUAAAAAAAAUGACUUAUUGUCCCAGUAUCAAGACUGCUUCUAAAGCUGCCAGGAAAUAUACAUGUAAAUAAUAAUAAUAUUGAUAAGUAAAAACUUUUAAAGUUAUAUCAUUAUUAACCUUUUUGAAAUGGAUAAUCCUGUCUGCAAAUAUAUUUUUGUGAAAUACAUAUUUGAUAUAUAUUUUUCUAAAAUGUAAUUGGCUGAAUAUAAAAUAAGAAGUUUGUAACAAUGUUUGUGCUAAUUGUUUAAUUUUGGAUAGUGUCCUGAAUUUAGUGUUAAUCUCAUGAACAUUUUCAGCCAGUUUUCAAUAGUUUGAUCUACACUUGAAAUGUAGGGCUGUUUGACAAUGAUUUGUCUAUUUCCCACUAGAUUUGGUUUUGUGUUGUCUUACAAUGAUUUGAAGCCAGUUUCCACCUUGCCAAGCAGUGAUUUUUAUGCAAGGAAUAGACAAUAGUUGAUGCUGUUAAAUUUCAGGUUAUGACUCAAUGUAAUAGUUUAUUUUUAGUACAAGAAAAGCAACUUUCAAUAAAGUAUGAUUUGAUGAACAAUGUGUGGACAUUUAGAUGUGUUUUUGUGACUACUGUUUCUUCAUUGUUAUUCAAUACCUUUUUUUAUAUGAAGCUUAUUUCCACAUGCCAUCUAUUCAUGGGCUUCUGCUGCCUGCUGUACAUUGUGUGGAUCUUUACC